AGUGAACGCUGGCGGUAGGCCUAACACAUGCAAGUCGAACGGCAGCACAGUAAGAGCUUGCUCUUACGGGUGGCGAGUGGCGGACGGGUGAGGAAUACAUCGGAAUCUACUUUUUCGUGGGGGAUAACGUAGGGAAACUUACGCUAAUACCGCAUACGACCUACGGGUGAAAGCAGGGGAUGUUCGGACCUUGCGCGAUUGAAUGAGCCGAUGUCGGAUUAGCUAGUUGGCGGGGUAAAGGCCCACCAAGGCGACGAUCCGUAGCUGGUCUGAGAGGAUGAUCAGCCACACUGGAACUGAGACACGGUCCAGACUCCUACGGGAGGCAGCAGUGGGGAAUAUUGGACAAAGGGCGCAAGCCUGAUCCAGCCAUACCGCGUGGGUGAAGAAGGCCUUCGGGUUGUAAAGCCCUUUUGUUGGGAAAGAAAAGCAGCAGGUUAAUACCCCGCUGUUCUGACGGUACCCAAAGAAUAAGCACCGGCUAACUUCGUG
This 492-nucleotide ribosomal RNA is filed under the name uncultured bacterium. Its description in RNAcentral is "partial 16S ribosomal RNA". It matches the Rfam family "Bacterial small subunit ribosomal RNA", at positions 29 to 507 of the family's 1533-position model. The record is from RNAcentral.